GCUGGGCACGGUGGCGCAUGUCUGUGAUCCCAAGGGUGUGGGAGGCUGAGGCAGGAGGAUUGCUGUCAAAGCCAGCCUCAGCAACACUGAGGCACGAUGUAACUCAGUGAGACCCCGUCUCUA
This 123-nucleotide small RNA is filed under the name Marmota monax (woodchuck). Lineage: Eukaryota; Metazoa; Chordata; Mammalia; Rodentia; Sciuridae. The record is from RNAcentral.